AAAAAAAAUCUAUAGAAAAAAAAAAAGUUUCCCCUCCCUCAUCAACAAAAGCCCACCCUCUAAGAGACAUUCAAGCUGAACUAUCACAAUUCUUAAUCAGUUACAAUUUACAAACAGAUAAGUUUAAAAUAAACAAUUUACAAAAUUUUUGAAGCAUACCUUAACAUCUUGUUUUGCAGUUAAACAAUGGAAAAGUAUUUCUCCUACACUAAAAAAAAACUUGCUUACACACAACUGAAAAUAGAAUCUUACUUGAUAAUACAAAAGCUACCAUCAGAAGAAAUCCCUUCAGGAUCAUUAAGCCACUUCCUUUGCUCUGCAGUUUCUAUAGUAGUUUUAAAUUAUUAUUAAAUCACCUGAAAAAAAUUCCAAAAGAGAACCACACACUACCAUAUCCAAACAACUUUUGCAUUUCCCAUAAUUGUAGUUAAUGUCAGCCCAGUAGGCCAGACCAACCCCCAGUUCAAUACUUUCCUUCCCCAAAAGCUCUAUACUUUGAAGGAAAACAGAUACAGUAUCAAAUUAUGACACUUUCCUUGCCCAAAUUAAUGCACUGGUACACCCAGUGGCUCAUAUUUAACUUCCCCCAGCUUCCCAAUUCAAACUGGGGGGAAAAAAACUAAAUCAUUGGGAGUUACUUGCCAACUUGGAAGUUGAUAUUUCUUUACUUUUUCCAUUCUAAGACUUUAAGUUCUCUGGCAUGAGUUUAUCUGCAAUCAUAAACUAAACAAUUACCUAAACCCACCCCACCAAUCCCAACCGUAACAGGCCACUGCCAACUAAUUGCCAAUAUUUGCCCCUCCCCUUUAAUAAAACUUUUAAGAAGUCACAUUAUUGGAAAACUUAACUUCAACAUUUGGCCUACUCAAGCUCUUCUGAAGUUCUCCUGAGAUGACUGAAUAUGAACCAAAGCUGCACUGUGCUGUACUUUUCAGCUUCAACUGGGAAUACUCUUCCAAGGAUAAAAGCAGCUCCAGUCCCUGAAGGUGUUCGUGCCAACAGCACAGCGGUACACUCCUUCUCUAACCCAGUUUGUCAAUAGUACUAUAGCAUCUGUGGAAAAUCUUAGAAAAAAACAUUUUCUCCCCCACCCUCUCUCUUCCCUGUUAAGACCAUCCCAAAAUGCUUCAAGUAAAAAAUAACAAGUUUAAGGGGUUAAGCACUUUUAAAGUCUGAUUAAGGGGGUGGGGGGAAAAAAGAGUAACUACCAGCCAUUUCUCCAAUGGACAUCUCUUCCACAGACCUCAACGUGAGAACUGCUCUAGUUUCUAUAAACUGUAAACCUGUGGUGGUCUGAUUAUCCUGAUAUUGGAUUUUCUUGUUUUCUGUUACACCUUGAGUCAUUUGCCUUUAGGAUUCUAGACAGACCUAAGGGAAAAAGAACUGAAAACAUAUUUUGCCCCCACCCCCACAAAAAAAAAUACUGAAAACUCCCCCCCGCCUCAGUUACACAUCCAAACUCUACAUUUACAAAACGAAUUCAGGGUGAGGAAGUAAAAACAGGUCAUCUAUUCACAAAACUGAAAUACUUCAUUACCCCAACUAAACAUACAAACUGCUUACAGAUUUGCUGAAAUUGUCUCAAUUUGGCUAUCAAAUUCAUUUGGUUUUCCUCAAAUUCGUGUAAAAAAAAAAAACCCACAAACUUGCCAUCUACUAUUUCUCCAGGACUUGGCAGUCUGCCCUCAAAAGCUUCAGACAAGAUUCAUGAGUAUAAGCCUGAAAAAGAGAAACCUACAACACCCGGAAAUCGGCCUACGUCCCCAUAUAAAUCCCUUUACACCUCAGUACGAAACUCCCCCAUUAUAUUAGAAAAUAAAUAAAAGGUUACCAUAAGUAAGUUCCAGAAAAACAACAUAUUGCCGACCUCACGGAUUUUUACCAACCACUCGCUUUCCCUGUGGCCUUGGCACACUGGCAUGCUGGUCUAGGAUCCUCUACGCACAACGCCUGCUCGCCUCCUCCGUGUGGUUGCCAAGCCAAGCCGCCUGCUACCUUCAUCACCAAAUUGCACUCGCUCCUUCCUGGAAUCCUUUUUCCUAGCUUCACCACCAAAUCGUUAGCGCUCCUUCCUUCUUCCUAGCUUCCUUCACCAAAUCGCACUGGCUCCUGGACUCUUUUCCUAUCUUCACCACGAACUGCUGCUUGCUCGCUUGCUCCUCAGUCCUAGCUUCAUCAAACACUGGUUCCUGGAAUCCUGUCUGCUGCUGUCUUCCUAGAUUCACUGAAUCCACUUCUGUGUAGCACCUGGGUCAGCUGUCAAUUAAUGCUAGUCCUCAGGAUUUAAAAAAUAAUCUUAACUCAAAGUCCAAUGCAAAAACAUUAAGUUGGUAAUUACUCUUGAUCUUGAAUUACUUCCGUUACGAAAGUCCUUCACAUUUUUCAAACUAAGCUACUAUAUUUAAGGCCUUCCAAAUUCUUCUAACUCUUCCAAAAGCCUUCUGCCUUAGUUUUUUUUAAAUUACACCAGUCCUUUUAGUAGCUUUUUGAUGUGAUUUUUAACCAACUUCCCCUUCUAGCUUCAAGUAUUCUUCUAAAUUGGUUCUGGUCUACGUAAACACCCUCAUCUUCUCAAGCUUUACCUUCUAACUUCUGCACCACCAGAAAUUAAAUUGAUGGGCUUUUAAAAUAAAUUGGUUACCAAUAAUUUCCUCAUUUUUUCAGUGCUAUUUUAUCCAAUUUUUGGCUUUAUAUUUUUCUAUCUUCUAUACUUCUCCAAUACUUGUCUUAGCUUGUUUUUCAUUUUCUAUCUGAAACUCUUGACAAUAUUUUCAUUUUCUAUCUUGUUUCUAUCUUCCAAUUUUCUUCUAAGUUUGUACAUUUUGCCCUUAGCUUUUUGUUUCCUAGCUUGUCUUUUUUCUUCUGCUUCCUACUUUUCAGGUUUAAAUUUAUCUUUUUUCUUCUAAAAGUAUGUUUUUAUCUUCUAAUUUCCCUAUCUUCUCUAUUCUUUUCUUCGCCUUCCCGUACUUCUGUCUUCCAGUUUUCCACUUCAAACUUCUAUCUUCUCCAAAUUGUUUCAUCCUACCACUCCCAAUUAAUCUUUCCAUUUUCGUCUGCGUUUAGUAAAUGCGUUAACUAGGCUUUAAAUGACGCAAUUCUCCCUGCGUCAUGGAUUUCAAGGUCUUUUAAUCACCUUCGGUUUAAUCUCUUUUUAAAAGAUCGCCUUCAAAUUAUUUUAAUCACCUACAACUUUUAAACUAAACUUUAAGCUGUUUAAGUCACCUUCAUUUUAAUCUAAAAGCAUUGCCCUUCUAUUGGUAUUAAUUCGGGGCUCUGUAGUCCUUUCUCUCAAUUUUCUUUUAAAUACAUUUUUUACUCCAUGAAGAAGCUUCAUCUCAACCUCCGUCAUGUUUUAGAAACCUUUUAUCUUUUCCUUCCUCAUGCUACUCUUCUAAGUCUUCAUAUUUUCUCUUAAAAUCUUAAGCUAUUAAAAUUACGUUAAAAACUUAACGCUAAGCAAUAUCUUAGUAACCUAUUGACUAUAUUUUUUAAGUAGUUGUAUUAAUCUCUAUCUUUCAAAGAGAAAAAAACUUAUCUGCGGUUUCCUCAAGCUCCGCCUGCCCCCUCAGCAGAAGCCCC
Molecule: long non-coding RNA, 3579 nt
Filed under: Homo sapiens (human)
Lineage: Eukaryota; Metazoa; Chordata; Mammalia; Primates; Hominidae
Description: non-protein coding lnc-LTBP3-2:3
Source: RNAcentral